Molecule: ribosomal RNA, 693 nt
Filed under: uncultured beta proteobacterium
Lineage: Bacteria; Pseudomonadati; Pseudomonadota; Betaproteobacteria
Description: bacterial SSU rRNA
Rfam family: Bacterial small subunit ribosomal RNA
Source: RNAcentral
AUUGAACGCUGGCGGCAUGCCUUACACAUGCAAGUCGAACGGUAACAGGUCUUCGGAUGCUGACGAGUGGCGAACGGGUGAGUAAUACAUCGGAACGUGCCCAGUAAUGGGGGAUAGCUCGGCGAAAGCCGGAUUAAUACCGCAUACGCCCUGAGGGGGAAAGUGGGGGAUCGCAAGACCUCACGUUAUUGGAGCGGCCGAUGGCUGAUUAGCUAGUUGGUAGGGUAAAGGCCUACCAAGGCGACGAUCAGUAGCUGGUCUGAGAGGACGAUCAGCCACACUGGGACUGAGACACGGCCCAGACUCCUACGGGAGGCAGCAGUGGGGAAUUUUGGACAAUGGGGGAAACCCUGAUCCAGCAAUGCCGCGUGUGCGAAGAAGGCCUUCGGGUUGUAAAGCACUUUUGUCAGGGAAGAAAUCCUUUGGGCUAAUACCCUAGGGGGAUGACGGUACCUGAAGAAUAAGCACCGGCUAACUACGUGCCAGCAGCCGCGGUAAUACGUAGGGUGCAAGCGUUAAUCGGAAUUACUGGGCGUAAAGCGUGCGCAGGCGGUUGUGUAAGACAGGUGUGAAAUCCCCGGGCUUAACCUGGGAAUUGCAUUUGUGACUGCACGACUAGAGUGUGUCAGAGGGGGGUGGAAUUCCACGUGUAGCAGUGAAAUGCGUAGAUAUGUGGAGGAACACCAAUGGCGA